UGCCUACACAAUAUGUUGAGACAGCAGAAGUUGAGAUUUCAGCAACAGAAAAUGAUUUUGAGUUUCGUCAUCCAGAAAAUGUCAGUAAUUUUGAUGAAGCAAUAAGAAAAAGAGAACAAGAAUAUCGAUCAAAACUGGAUGAAACAGAAAAGUUUAACAAAAGAACUGGAGUUAAUGCGAUGUGAUAGUCGUCGAUGUAAAGAGGAACUCAACAAGACAGAGCUGAGAACUCGGGAGCUGGAGAAGAUGCUUAAAGGAAAAGAUUGGAUGAUUUCUGAUUUGGAAAACACUAAUAAGUUUUAGGUCACAGAUCUCGAAGCACAACUGGAAUAUAUGAGGAGAAUGGGAGACAACUUACAGGAGGA
This is a long non-coding RNA of Dendronephthya gigantea, 365 nucleotides long. RefSeq lists it as uncharacterized. The record is from RefSeq and is a predicted model, not a curated record. NCBI's taxonomy places the organism in Eukaryota, Metazoa, Cnidaria, Anthozoa, Malacalcyonacea, Nephtheidae. The transcript has 3 exons.